CGAACGCUGGCGGCGUGCUUAACACAUGCACGUCGAACGGAAAGGCCCUGCUUUUGUGGGGUGCUCGAGUGGCGAACGGGUGAGUAACACGUGAGUAACCUGCCCUUGACUUUGGGAUAACUUCAGGAAACUGGGGCUAAUACCGGAUAGGAGCUCCUGCUGCAUGGUGGGGGUUGGAAAGUUUCGGCGGUUGGGGAUGGACUCGCGGCUUAUCAGCUUGUUGGUGGGGUAGUGGCUUACCAAGGCUUUGACGGGUAGCCGGCCUGAGAGGGUGACCGGCCACAUUGGGACUGAGAUACGGCCCAGACUCCUACGGGAGGCAGCAGUGGGGAAUAUUGCACAAUGGGCGGAAGCCUGAUGCAGCAACGCCGCGUGCGGGAUGACGGCCUUCGGGUUGUAAACCGCUUUCGCCUGUGACGAAGCGUGAGUGACGGUAAUGGGGAAAGAAGCACCGGCGAACUACGU
This 465-nucleotide ribosomal RNA is filed under the name uncultured bacterium. RNAcentral describes it as "partial 16S ribosomal RNA". It matches the Rfam family "Bacterial small subunit ribosomal RNA", at positions 30 to 506 of the family's 1533-position model. The record is from RNAcentral.